UGGGGAAUAUUGGACAAUGGGCGAAAGCCUGAUCCAGCCAUGCCGCGUGUGUGAAGAAGGUCUUCGGAUUGUAAAGCACUUUAAGUUGGGAGGAAGGGCAGUAAGCGAAUACCUUGCUGUUUUGACGUUACCGACAGAAUAAGCACCGGCUAACUCUGUGCCAGCAGCCGCGGUAAUACAGAGGGUGCAAGCGUUAAUCGGAAUUACUGGGCGUAAAGCGCGCGUAGGUGGUUCGUUAAGUUGAAUGUGAAAGCCCCGGGCUCAACCUGGGAACUGCAUCCAAAACUGGCGAGCUAGAGUAGGGCAGAGGGUGGUCGAAUUUCCUGUGUAGCGGUGAAAUGCGUAGAUAUAGGAAGGAACACCAGUGGCGAAGGCGACCACCUGGGCUCAUACUGACACUGAGGUGCGAAAGCGUGGGGAGCAAACAGG
Molecule: ribosomal RNA, 429 nt
Filed under: Pseudomonadota bacterium
Lineage: Bacteria; Pseudomonadati; Pseudomonadota
Description: Proteobacteria bacterium partial 16S ribosomal RNA
Rfam family: Bacterial small subunit ribosomal RNA
Source: RNAcentral